Long non-coding RNA from Oxyura jamaicensis (ruddy duck), 525 nucleotides. RefSeq lists it as uncharacterized. The transcript has 2 exons. The record is from RefSeq and is a predicted model, not a curated record. NCBI's taxonomy places the organism in Eukaryota, Metazoa, Chordata, Aves, Anseriformes, Anatidae.
UAAAUAAUAUACUUUGUUCUGAUCAUUAACAAUCAAAGUAUAAUUUAAAAUUUAAACAUAGAAGAAUUUACUUGCGCAGUGUGGGCUUUCACGGUGAAAAUCAAGCUGGCAGAAUGGGAAACAAAUUGCUCUCACUGUGUAAUCAGGCUUCUGAUCACUUGAGCAGGCUGAGAUAAGCGAGAUUUUGUGGCAAUGAUUAAAUAAACUCUGUCUAAACAGCUUUAAUUGUAGUAUUGCUGGAAAAUCAGCAGGCUGUGCUCGUUGAUCGGCCACAAGGCAAGUUCGGCCAUGGCAUUUAAAGUCCGUAUCAUGCUGUAGGAGAUCUGAGACAUCGUUCUGGCUGAAUCCUCCAAAAGUCCCUUGAUGCCUGGAGAAAGAAAAGCAUGAAAGAAAGCAAAGCAUGGUGAGCUGGUGCUUUUUGGGGGCCUUCUCGUUACAAAUGGGAGAAGCUGCUAACUGGGUUAAAAUUGGGAUGUUCAGCAUGUGAAACCUAACUGGGAAUGUUUCCUUUCUCUGGGAAAAAAA